Molecule: ribosomal RNA, 295 nt
Filed under: uncultured bacterium
Lineage: Bacteria
Description: partial 16S ribosomal RNA
Rfam family: Bacterial small subunit ribosomal RNA
Source: RNAcentral
GGAUUAGAUACCCUGGUAGUCCACACCGUAAACGCUGUCUACUAGCUGUUUGUGAUUUUAAAUCGUGAGUAGCGAAGCUAACGCGCUAAGUAGACCGCCUGGGGAGUACGGCCGCAAGGUUAAAACUCAAAUGAAUUGACGGGGGCCCGCACAAGCGGUGGUGCAUGUGGUUUAGUUCGAAGCAACGCGAAGAACCUUACCUGGAUUUGACAUCCUUGGAAGUCCGCAGAGACGUGGACGUGCCCUUCGGGGAGCCAAGUGACAGGUGCUGCAUGGCUGUCGUCAGCUCGUGCCG